This is a non-coding RNA of Drosophila melanogaster (fruit fly), 3145 nucleotides long. Lineage: Eukaryota; Metazoa; Arthropoda; Insecta; Diptera; Drosophilidae. The record is from Ensembl.
ACCAUCAUUUUUGACAUACAUUUGUAAAUUUAUUUCGUCAAGUGAUCACAUGUUGAUAAUUUAGAUGAGGACCUGCGCAGCAGCAGAGGCGCAGCUGAUUGGAGCGGAGUUGGCCAAACGCGAAGGGUAGGCAAAAGGAAGCAAUCUCAGAAGCAGCAUCGAUACCAUUGCUGUUCCUGGCGAUAACCUGGCUACUGGUGGCGGUCACAACUGGAGCGGGAGCAGCUACCACGGCAGCAGGAGCAGAGUAGGCCAGAGGAGCAGAGUAAGCCAGAGGACCAGUGUACGCCAGGGCAGCACACAGGACUCCAGGCUUGGCAGCAGCGCAGGCGACGGUUAUCAGGACAAGGACGGCCUGUAAACAAAUCAGCUUGAUUAGUUUAAUCCUCUAUGGAUCCUUUCUGAAGAACUUUAUGUGAUUUCCCACUGCUGACUGCAGAAUGUGGAAUAACUCUUGGUGGCCACGGAAUGCGAUGGCCUGAGAUCACAGGCGCAGUCCCGAUGCGGCGCAUAAAUAGUGGUAUGGAAUGUGUUGGGCGACAUCAGGUUCAAGUUUUCGAACCGAAAGCACCAGAUCCAUAAUCCAAAUGUUUAAAUCCGACGUCCUUGUCUUGGCCAUCGUCUCCUGCUCUGCUGCCAAGCCUGGACUGCUUUGGACUACACUGCUCACGUGGUUCCUCUGCUUCACUCCGGUCUGACUGUCGUGGUAGCUGCUCUCGCUCCAGUUGUGACCGCUGCCAGUUAUCAGGUUAUCGCCAGGAACUACAAUGUAAUUGCUCUUGCUCCUGUGAUUGCUCCUGUGAUUGCUCCCGUGGCUUUUCUCUGGCUGUGCCUCUCUUGGCCCAGUACGCAGCCGCUCCUCUGGCUGCUCCAUGACCUACUCCUCGCCUUUGGCUUACUCCGCACCACUGAGCUACGCCGUUCCAUUUACACAGCUCCCUAUCUAAAUUACUAAGCUGUGAUCACCUCGGAGACAAUGAUAAUAAAUGGAGAUAUAAUAAGACGUUAUUCAAUUGUAUAUUCUUUUGCAAACACGCUUCAAAUUAGUAUUUAUUUUAAUGAAAAAUUAUAUCUGAACGUACACGAAGAUGAUUCCUAGAUAAUUUCCCAGCAUUUAUGAACAAUUAUUCCGAGAAUGCACACUAGCGCCACCUAACGACUGAUACAUUUCUUAAUCACAGCCCUAUAAUCUGUUGAAUCUAACUACAAAAUAUCCGAACUUCUGAGCUUUGAAGAUCCCCAGAUCUUAGACGGUCAUAGAUCCCAAUUAAUUUCUUUUUUGUGCGAAAGCACUUCAUUCAACGUUUUACAUAAUUUUUAUAGAAUCCAAUAAGGCCUUUUAAAACGUUUCUACUGCUCCAACUGUAUAUGUACAUGCUGCUUGGGCCUAAUAAUUAACCUUGCUGAUAACCCUCAUCAAAUCACCAAACUGCCGUCCACACAAUUCCAUGGUGCUCCAUUAUCAAAUCCCUGUUGGAUGUCCGGUGCCUGAAUCAACACAAUUCAAAAGCCCACCCAGAAGUCGAAACCCGUUUUCGGCACCAUCGUUCAUUCAUCAUCGCCGCCUGGCACUUGGCAAAUUUACACAAGCCAGGUAAACGGAUAGACAGAAGGACGGAGCCAGCCAGAGCCGAAAUACAAUUAAAACCCAAUCUAAACUCAAAUUUUAAAUCACAAAAGUUAUCAGUUACCUUUCGGCCAACAGCAGAAGCAGCAGCAGUAGCAGCCGCACGUAAACUUUGGUCAGAAUCUGUAAGUUUGCAGCUGAAUCUUGGUCAAAAGAUACGGCUACGACUCCCAUACACACGCACCUUUGGCAAACACACUCAAUUAUAGAUACAGACAGACAGUGAGACCCACAAACUUCCGUGGAAAACUUCUCGGGCACUUUGAAAAUGAAGCGAAUCCUGGCCAGACAGACGGGCCGUUUCCCAAGUUCGAUUUCUGGCAUUUGCUGUGCUCGGCAAAAUGCAUUUGCCAUUCCAAACUAGUUCCAAUUGAUUAAGUUUCUGGUUAAUGGAUUGUUUACAUACCUAAGCAGGCCGACUCACAGAAGUGCAACUCUGCAACUUUUGGCAAUCACCACUAAAUGGUAAUCACAAAUUCACUGCCUGACUUAGUCUUCUAUUGGGCCAAAAAGCAAAAUACAGUUGAGCAUUGGAAAUUCCACAAGUUAUUUAAGUGGCAAAUGGUCAAAUCACAUUAUAUUUUACUGCACUUUAUUAUGAUGGUUCUAUAAGUUUUGACGUUUAUUUAUAACUAAGCCAAUAGAAUCGGUAGCAGAAUUGGGUUAAAUCCAAAGUAGAGGCCAAAUGCACCAAAUCUAUUUCGUAAGCCUACUACUGUACUGUACUAUACUUUAAAACAUUUAUCCUCCUUGUUUUUCCGAGUGCCCACUAAAAAAUGCAUAAUUAUUUUCCUUUAUGCCAUAAAGCAGAUUAAAAAACUUUUGUUUUUAAUUAGAAGAAGCGCUGUUUCGGGCAACAAAAGAAGGCAUGGAACUUGCGAGUAACUUUGCAAACAUUUCAUUGCGCGCAUAUAAAUUACAUGGAGAAAGAAAAGCGUGAAAAGCGCGAAAAGCAAGCAACAUUCUUGCCAAAAACGAUAUGAAAUAAAACCAGAUGAAAAUCAAAAUUAAUGCAAAGCUCUCUUCCAGCAGACAAUGCGGCGUAUGCGCAAUGAGCUCUGCAAUUCUUGGCAAAAUUACGCAUACGCCCCCUUCGCCGAAGUGCGAGCGCACUGCGGGCUGCCUUUAAGUUGCGCCAGGGAAUGUGAAUUAAUUUCGUUUUAAUUAAGUUCCCAUAAGUUUAUUAAAUUUAACAAGCAGGCCCCAGAAACACAUACACAACCACCAAGCUCGCUGCGACAAAAGGACCAAGAACUAUGUGCGGGAACAAGAUGACAACUACGACUCCUGGCCUGGCACACAAAACGUUUCAAAAUUAAUUAACAACUUAUUUGCAUUUUGACGGUUCUCGAAUGGAUGUCGCCGUAACACGAUAAAGAAGUCCUCAUCAUGUUGGAAAACCUUUGACACAAAUUAAACUUGAGCUUGGGCUUAUAAGAUUUAAGUUCACUGAGAUCGAUCUUCCGGGGAAAAUUCUUAUUUCUCACUUGUGUUAAUAAUAUUGGCUCUUAAUUUAAG